CAGCCGCCACGGUAAAACGAAGGGUGCAAGCGUUACUCGGAAUUACUGGGCGUAAAGCGUGCGUAGGUGGUGGUUUAAGUCCGUUGUGAAAGCCCUGGGCUCAACCUGGGAAUUGCAGUGGAUACUGGGUCACUAGAGUGUGGUAGAGGAUAGUGGAAUUUCCGGUGUAGCAGUGAAAUGCGUAGAGAUCGGAAGGAACAUCUGUGGCGAAGGCGACUAUCUGGGCCAACACUGACACUGAGGCACGAAAGCGUGGGGAGCAAACAGGAUUAGAUACCCCCGUAGUCCCUGUCUCUUAUAA
RNAcentral lists this ribosomal RNA (301 nucleotides) under uncultured bacterium. RNAcentral describes it as "partial 16S ribosomal RNA". It matches the Rfam family "Bacterial small subunit ribosomal RNA", at positions 509 to 809 of the family's 1533-position model. The record is from RNAcentral.